This 484-nucleotide ribosomal RNA is filed under the name uncultured bacterium. Its description in RNAcentral is "partial 16S ribosomal RNA". It matches the Rfam family "Bacterial small subunit ribosomal RNA", at positions 28 to 507 of the family's 1533-position model. The record is from RNAcentral.
AUUGAACGCUGGCGGCAUGCUUUACACAUGCAAGUCGAACGGCAGCGCGGGCUUCGGCCUGGCGGCGAGUGGCGAACGGGUGAGUAAUGCAUCGGAACGUGCCCAGUAGUGGGGGAUAGCCCGGCGAAAGCCGGAUUAAUACCGCAUACGACCUGAGGGUGAAAGCGGGGGACCGAAAGGCCUCGCGCUAUUGGAGCGGCCGAUGGCGGAUUAGCUAGUUGGUGGGGUAAAGGCUUACCAAGGCGACGAUCCGUAGCUGGUCUGAGAGGACGACCAGCCACACUGGGACUGAGACACGGUCCAGACUCCUACGGGAGGCAGCAGUGGGGAAUUUUGGACAAUGGGGGCAACCCUGAUCCAGCCAUGCCGCGUGCGGGAAGAAGGCCUUCGGGUUGUAAACCGCUUUUGUUCGGGAAGAAAUCCUCUGGGCUAAUACCCCGGGGGGAUGACGGUACCGGAAGAAUAAGCACCGGCUAACUACGUG